GACGUAGGGCGCGAGCGUUGUCCGGAUUUAUUGGGCGUAAAGAGCUCGUAGGCGGCUUGUCGCGUCGAAUGUGAAAUCUCAGGGCUCAACUCUGACAUUGCAUUCGAUACGGGCAGGCUCGAGUUCGGCAGGGGAGACUGGAAUUCCUGGUGUAGCGGUGAAAUGCGCAGAUAUCAGGAGGAACACCGGUGGCGAAGGCGGGUCUCUGGGCCGAUACUGACGCUGAGGAGCGAAAGCGUGGGGAGCGAACAGG
RNAcentral lists this ribosomal RNA (253 nucleotides) under uncultured bacterium. RNAcentral describes it as "partial 16S ribosomal RNA". It matches the Rfam family "Bacterial small subunit ribosomal RNA", at positions 524 to 776 of the family's 1533-position model. The record is from RNAcentral.